This 301-nucleotide ribosomal RNA is filed under the name uncultured bacterium. RNAcentral's name for it is "partial 16S ribosomal RNA". It matches the Rfam family "Bacterial small subunit ribosomal RNA", at positions 509 to 807 of the family's 1533-position model. The record is from RNAcentral.
CAGUAGCCGCGGGAAUACGUAGGGUGCGAGCGUUAAUCGGAAUUACUGGGCGUAAAGCGUGCGCAGGCGGUUGUGUAAGACAGGUGUGAAAUCCCCGGGCUUAACCUGGGAACUGCGCUUGUGACUGCACAGCUAGAGUAUGGCAGAGGGGGGUGGAAUUCCACGCGUAGCAGUGAAAUGCGUAGAGAUGUGGAGGAACACCGAUGGCGAAGGCAGCCCCCUGGGCCAAUACUGACGCUCAUGCACGAAAGCGUGGGGAGCAAACAGGAUUAGAUACCCCCGUAGUCCCUGUCUCUUAUAC